Non-coding RNA from Podarcis lilfordi (Lilford's wall lizard), 73 nucleotides. The record is from the annotation of a GenBank genome assembly. NCBI's taxonomy places the organism in Eukaryota, Metazoa, Chordata, Lepidosauria, Squamata, Lacertidae.
CCCUGAAUAGCUCAGCCGGUAGAGCAUGAGACUCUUAAGCUCAGGGUCGUGGGUUUGAUCCCCACAUUGGGCA